CCAAGGAGUUUAUCGUGUGCGCGAGUCAUUGGGCGUUGAAAACCCAAAGGCGCAAUGAAAGUGAAGUGCCACGCAAGUGGCUGAUGUGCGAUGUUGUGUUCCACGGCACACGACCGCAGCAUGGCCCCAUCCUGGCUGCUUGCAGCGGGGUGGAGGAAGAGCGUGCGCGAUGAGACCCGAAAGAUGGUGAACUAUUCCUGAGCAGGAUGAAGCCAGAGGAAACUCUGGUGGAAGUCCGAAGCGAUUCUGACGUGCAAAUCGAUCGUCUGACUUGGGUAUAGGGGCGAAAGACUAAUCGAACCAUC
RNAcentral lists this ribosomal RNA (305 nucleotides) under Pratylenchus zeae. RNAcentral describes it as "eukaryotic LSU rRNA". It matches the Rfam family "Eukaryotic large subunit ribosomal RNA", at positions 666 to 944 of the family's 3401-position model. The record is from RNAcentral. Lineage: Eukaryota; Metazoa; Nematoda; Chromadorea; Rhabditida; Pratylenchidae.